RNAcentral lists this ribosomal RNA (497 nucleotides) under uncultured bacterium. RNAcentral's name for it is "partial 16S ribosomal RNA". It matches the Rfam family "Bacterial small subunit ribosomal RNA", at positions 28 to 507 of the family's 1533-position model. The record is from RNAcentral.
GAUGAACGCUGGCGGCGUGCUUAACACAUGCAAGUCGAGCGAACAGACGAGGAGCUUGCGCCUCUGACGUUAGCGGCGGACGGGUGAGUAACAUGGGGAUAACCUACCUAUAAGACUGGGAUUACUUCGGGAAACCGGGGCGAAUACCGGAAAAUAUAUUGCACCCCAUGGGUGAAUAGUGAAAGAUGGUUUUGUUGUUAAUUAUAGAUGGAUCCGGGCCGCUUUAGCUAGUCGGUAAGGUAACGGUUUACCAACGCAACGAUACGUAGCCGACAUGAGAGGUUGAUCGACCACACUGGAACUGAAUCACGGUCCAAGCUCCGACGGGAGGACGCGGUAGAGACCUUUGCGCGGUGGGCGGAAGCCUAACGGAGCAAUGCCCCGUGAGUGACGAGGGUCUUCGGGUCUUGAAACUGUGUUCUUAGGGAUGAUGAACUGCGUUUGUAGCUGUAGACAUCUUGACGGUACCUGAUCAGUAAGCCUCGGCUAACUACGUG